CUGACCCCGGGUCACUGUAGCUGAAAACACACUGCAACGCAUCAUAUGAUGCGCAUCAAAUAUUACGCAUCGAAUGCUGCUGCUGGCACCAAUAGGAAGUGUUGCACUGCAGUGUGUCAGCAGGAAGACAACAUGCACCAUCUGAAGAGUAUGGACGUAUAAAGAGAAUUGAGAGAGCUGAAGAGCCAGUCUCUAUGAGCUAUGGCUCGCCAGGUCGUUUAACUUGGGAUAUUUGUCCACCUGAACAACACAGAGAGGAAGUCGAGCUGCCACAGGAGCCGGGAUGUACAAGCAGGGAAGCCGGUCGAAUCACUCAGAACAACGGGGCGUCGGUUCGCCUCACAGCGGCUGAUAACGUGGAGACGCAGGUGUGAAUUCUGGUGGAGUGACUCAUCGCAGCACGUCGUCAAGGUUGUGGUAACCAUGGAAACGGAGCAGCUUCACCUGUUUCUGCGGUCUGCGGUCCCACUCAUGAACACCCCACCCCCCCCCACCCUCUCCCACACACACACACACAGUAACAUCAGCUGUGUCUUUCUGUGAUGUUUUUGCACAGCCACAAGACGGCAGGCUGCAGGGAAACUUCCUGUCAGAGAGGAAGUGGAUGGAGGUGAUGCUUUACUUCUAGGAAAAAAACAUGAAGAAGAAAUCUUUCGCUCUCAUCACAACAGCGGCAACAAGAAAACAUCUAGCUAAAGGUUGCAUUCACUGUUUACAUACCAGCUGUCUUCAUCGGUAUUUCAGUUGAAACAAACCAUGAUUGAUGCUCUUAUCUUGUUUAUAAUGUUAUCAUCAGUUCUUUGUGUUUUUCUUAUCACCUGUUGCUGACAGUUUCCUGUUCAUGAUAAGAGGAAAUGACACCUAUUAUAUUUUCAAAAGCAGCACUGUGGUUUGACUCCACUUAAAAACACACAGUAGAAAACGUUUUAAUAGUAUGUUUUAACAUGACAAUAAAAUCCCAAAUAGCUGCCUGUUAACCCGAACUUCCACAGCUGCAGAGCAUCAGCUAUACUGGGAUCCAGUUUACCACUUCUAAGAGUUUCAGAGCAAGGUCAUAGAGGAAACGUUUGACGGUGUAUAAAGAGCUGAAGUCAUGACGUCACAUCCGAGCUAGCCUCCGUUCCUCUAGCUUCUAUAACGAUCUGUCAGUCAGCGUUUCUUUCAUCUGUCUUUCUGAAAAUAGCAAAGCUUGAAACACUUG
Long non-coding RNA from Thunnus maccoyii (southern bluefin tuna), 1201 nucleotides. RefSeq lists it as uncharacterized. The transcript has 3 exons. The record is from RefSeq and is a predicted model, not a curated record. Lineage: Eukaryota; Metazoa; Chordata; Actinopteri; Scombriformes; Scombridae.